Long non-coding RNA from Astyanax mexicanus (Mexican tetra), 1104 nucleotides. RefSeq lists it as uncharacterized. NCBI's taxonomy places the organism in Eukaryota, Metazoa, Chordata, Actinopteri, Characiformes, Acestrorhamphidae. The transcript has 3 exons. The record is from RefSeq and is a predicted model, not a curated record.
CAGGUCUUCUUGUUCGUUCUCUUUCUUAGAGACAACUUUGCCAGUCUGAAAAUGAGACAACUAAGCCAAGUAGAGGCUCCAGUCAACAGAGAAUGCAUAAACUGGAAGUGGUGCAACAGUAUGGGCCAUGAUUCAUAAUACCCAGACUGUGCUGUAUUCCCAAAAGCUUCAGUAUCUUACACCAAGAUAUCAUCCAUGCAGUUGCAGCAUUCUUCAUAUAAGAGACAACGUUGCCAGUGUGUGACAGCUAAGCCAAGUUGAGACUCCAGUCAAUAGAAGAUGCUUAAACUGGAAGUGGUGCAGUAGUCUGGGUGAGGAUUCAUCAUACCCAGAGUGUGCUGUAUUCCCCUAAGUCUCUCACACCAAGAUAUCAUUCAUGCAGCAUUCCUCAUAUAAGUCUGUGAAUAAGACAACUAAGCCAGGCUGAUGCUACAAUGAACAACAGAUGUCUAAACCGGAACAGGUGCUCUACUGUGGACAAUGACUCAUUAUAGCCUAAAUGAACUGUAUUCGCGAAGGCUAACUCACACUACAUCGACCUAUGCAUGGACAAGUAUUCCACUUACUUCACUUUAAUUUCCUCUUGGAUGCAUCCUUUGCACUUGGACUAUUGGACUAUUACUCUAUGACAACUCCCAACUCUACUACUGUAUUCAAGCUGGCAUGCUAACAAUACAUCUGUUUUAUGUACACUAUAUAAUAAUGUUUAAUCAUACCUGUUAAUGUUUUUAUGGAUUUAAUUUUGCUACUGUCCAAACAAAAUCACAUGUCUCCAAAAUAUUUAGUUUACAGAAAAAAGGAAAAACAAUCCCAAUGUGAAACAAAAUGUAGUCAAAUUGUGUCAUAUUUUACACAAUGAACAUAGAUUGGUAUUUGUCUAAUCAUAAAGAAAUAUGUAUAUAAUAUAAACAGAAGCAGUGGGGAAAAAUAAUCACUGCAGGGGAAAAAUGUUACUAUGUAGGCAGAUGUUUUUUUGUGGACAGCAGUAAUAUUCAUAUAUAUCCUGCACAAAGCUCUAUCAAUUUAUUAUUCAUACCACAAGUUGUUUUAUUAUUUAUUUAUUUUGUGUGUGUGUGUGUGUGUGUGUGUGUGUGUGUUUGGGGG